Molecule: long non-coding RNA, 1178 nt
Organism: Diceros bicornis minor
Lineage: Eukaryota; Metazoa; Chordata; Mammalia; Perissodactyla; Rhinocerotidae
Exons: 3
Source: RefSeq, a predicted model, not a curated record
UAAAUUGCUCAUCGGCUGUGCCAACACCAUUUGGUCUAUAAACCCGUUUUUGUUUUUGGUGAUUGGUGACGUGUUCAAUUCUUUUGUUCUGAGCUUUGUUUCUGGCUGUCAGUUCUGUCCCACUGAUUUUCUCUUCUGGAUCCCCUGUGGGAUGAAGAAGCAGACAGACCUAGAUCUCACAUAUAUUAGACGUGACAUCCAUUUAUUUGUUUAUUCUACAGUUAUCUACUGAAGCAGCUUCUGUGCCGAGUCUUAUGCUAGUGUGCGUCACUGGGGACGCAGACGUGCAGAAGAUGUGGUCCCUGUCUUCAAGCCGUCAUAAUCUGGCAAGGACAAUUCAUAAGGACGGAAACAAACACAGAUACCGACAGUAAUCGAGCUCUGCUCGGAGCCGCCCCUCUUCCCCUGCACCCUUUACAGCCCCACGUGCGAUGCCUUUGACAAGCUCUUCUUGGAGGAGGUGCAGCUGCCCGAGCUGGACAAGGACAACAGGCCCGUCUUCCCCUCCACGGGUGCCCAUUCGGCCACCAUGAGCUCCAGCUUCAACGGCUUCCCGCCCGUGCUGUCUGCUACGACCCAAGCUCAGGUGUCUAAGGCAGGAAGACGGAAGAGGAAGUGGGGGAUCUCACACUGGUUUAAGCUUGGGGUUUUAGGACCUCUUACAAAUGGUGUCUUGGCAGCCGAGAGACAAAUAAUGAGAAGCAUCAUCCAGGCAAGAGGGCAAGAGAAACUGACCUGGACAGAGAGAAGAAAGAACAUAUACAAAGAUAGGGAGGUGAGGGGGAGCAUGGAGGAUGUGACCUGUUAAAAGAAGACCAGCACUGCUGAGGAGCAGAUAGUGAGAGGAGACGUGAUGCAAAUCGAGACAAGACAGAAAUGUGGGGACAAGACUCAGCAGGGCCCUGUGAGCCAUGUGGAGAAUCCCAGUCAUUGAAAGAUUUUCCAAAGGGAUGGCCCAUCAUCUUAUCUACUCCCAGAAGAGGUCACUCUGACCGCAGUGCAGAGAAUGGAUUGGAGGGCAGAGCAGAGGGGAAACGACUGAGGUAGAUGGCAAACAUGGAGAGAAAUGAAUGACUGGGUAUACCGAGGAGGAAAAGGAAAGGAGAAUUGGGAUGUGCCUAUGUAGAGUGAGAGCGUGGGAGGAGGGAAGGAGAAAUCCCAACUCCUCAGCUUGUGCA